UCCUUUCAGGUAKCGGCUCAKACKGUMAYSACAGUCGAGCGGACCGAACGGAAGCUUGCUUCUGUUCGGUUAGCGGCGGACGGGUGAGUAACACGUGGGUAACCUGCCCGUAAGACCGGGAUAACUCCGGGAAACCGGGGCUAAUACCGGAUAACACCGAAGACCGCAUGGUCUUUGGUUGAAAGGUGGCUUUUGCUACCACUUACGGAUGGGCCCGCGGCGCAUUAGCUAGUUGGUGAGGUAACGGCUCACCAAGGCGACGAUGCGUAGCCGGCCUGAGAGGGUGACCGGCCACACUGGGACUGAGACACGGCCCAGACUCCUACGGGAGGCAGCAGUAGGGAAUCUUCCGCAAUGGACGAAAGUCUGACGGAGCGACGCCGCGUGAGCGAAGAAGGUCUUCGGAUCGUAAAGCUCUGUUGUUAGGGAAGAAGAAGUACCGUUCGAAUAGGGCGGUACGGUGACGGUACCUAACGAGAAAGCCCCGGCUAACUACGUGCCAGCAGCCGCGGUAAUACGUAGGGGGCGAGCGUUGUCCGGAAUUAUUGGGCGUAAAGCGCGCGCAGGCGGUCCCUUAAGUCUGAUGUGAAAGCCCACGGCUCAACCGUGGAGGGUCAUUGGAAACUGGGGGACUUGAGUGCAGAAGAGGAGAGCGGAAUUCCACGUGUAGCGGUGAAAUGCGUAGAGAUGUGGAGGAACACCAGUGGCGAAGGCGGCUCUCUGGUCUGUAACUGACGCUGAGGCGCGAAAGCGUGGGGAGCAAACAGGAUUAGAUACCCUGGUAGUCCACGCCGUAAACGAUGAGUGCUAAGUGUUAGAGGGGUUWWMCCYUUWRUGSUKKARCUWAMGSSKUWARCMCYYCSCCUKGGGGARKWMSGGCGSMAGGSUGAAACUCMAARGAAUUGRCGGGGGCCCCGCAMAAGCGGKGGAAGCAUGKKGUUUAAUUCGAAGCAACGCGAGAAUCUUACCRGUCKUUGACAUCUCUGACAACCUGGAGAMAGGGCGUUCCCCUUCCGGGGGACAGGUGACAGKGUGCAUGGUGGUCGUCAGCUCGUGUCGUGAGAUGUGGAUUAGUUCCGCACGAGCGCAUCUCGCUAGUGCAGCAUUCAGUGACACUCUAGGGGAACUGGCGGAKACAACG
This 1141-nucleotide ribosomal RNA is filed under the name Geobacillus sp. Its description in RNAcentral is "partial 16S ribosomal RNA". It matches the Rfam family "Bacterial small subunit ribosomal RNA", at positions 52 to 1165 of the family's 1533-position model. Lineage: Bacteria; Bacillati; Bacillota; Bacilli; Caryophanales; Anoxybacillaceae. The record is from RNAcentral.